CCUACGGGAGGCAGCAGUGAGGAAUAUUGGGCAAUGGAGGCAACUCUGACCCAGCCAUGCCGCGUGAGUGAAGAAGGUUUUCGGAUUGUAAAGCUCUAUCGGAUGUGACGAUGAUGACGGUAGCAUCUAAAGAAGCCCCGGCUAACUUCGUGCCAGCAGCCGCGGUAAUACGAAGGGGGCAAGCGUUAUCCGGAUUUACUGGGCGUAAAGGGAGGGUAGGCGGCUGAGUAAGAUAGUUGUGAAAGCCCAGGGCUGAACGCCGGGAUUGCAGUUGGAACUGUGUGGCUUGAGUGUCGGAGAGGCAGGCGGAAUGCCUAGUGUAGAGGUGAAAUGCGUAGAUAUUAGGAGGAACACCAGUGGCGAAGGCGGCCUGCUGGACGAUGACUGACGUUGAGGCUCGAAAGCGUGGGGAGCAAACAGGAUUAGAGACCCUUGUAGUG
RNAcentral lists this ribosomal RNA (440 nucleotides) under uncultured bacterium. RNAcentral describes it as "partial 16S ribosomal RNA". It matches the Rfam family "Bacterial small subunit ribosomal RNA", at positions 338 to 795 of the family's 1533-position model. The record is from RNAcentral.